This 483-nucleotide unclassified non-coding RNA is filed under the name Hevea brasiliensis (rubber tree). Lineage: Eukaryota; Viridiplantae; Streptophyta; Magnoliopsida; Malpighiales; Euphorbiaceae. The record is from RNAcentral.
GUUAAGACAUCUUUCCUGCCCCAACUACAAGACAAUCCAAGUUUUUCCCCAGGCCUUAAUCUUCAAGAAUCCCAUUACAAAUAUUUUGAAGCUUGAAACUAUUUGGACUUCGGAAACUAUUGUCAAGUUUCAUUACUUAUUUGAGUCAUAAAGUACACUAGAAGAGUUUACAACCUCCAAACCUUCUCAUCUACAUCGUACAGACAAAAGCAAAGCCCAAUACAACCUACAUUUGUGAAACAAAAUCAUGGUUCUAUUGCCAGGUUGCAUUUGAAAUGCGAAAUAGAUAAAGUGAAAUCUUAGAGCCAACAGUCAACAGAAGCAUAUGAAAAUGACAGUAGCGUCAGCCAUUCAUAAUUGCAUACCUCUAGGAGCAAUUCAAGCAAUACUCACAUGGAAGUGCCUAGAAAUUUUUCUCCAUACACGAGGCAUCUACACUCCAUGAGAAUAGUCACUCAUUCACAUAGCAUCUUAUCACUCCAA